RNAcentral lists this ribosomal RNA (406 nucleotides) under uncultured bacterium. RNAcentral's name for it is "partial 16S ribosomal RNA". It matches the Rfam family "Bacterial small subunit ribosomal RNA", at positions 30 to 526 of the family's 1533-position model. The record is from RNAcentral.
AUUGAACGCUAGCGGCAGGCCUAACACAUGCAAGUCGAACGAGUGGCGGACGGGUGAGUAAUGUCUGGGAAACUGCCCGAUGGCGGGGGAUAACUACUGGAAACGGUAGCUAAUACCGCAUACCAUCGGAUGUGCCGAGAUGGGAUUAGCUAGUAGGUGGGGUAAAGGCUCACCAAGGCGACGAUCCCUAGCUGGUCUGAGAGGAUGACCAGCCACACUGGAACUGAGACACGGUCCAGACUCCUACGGGAGGCAGCAGUGGGGAAUAUUGCACAAUGGGCGAAAGCCUGAUGCAGCCAUGCCGCGUGUAUGAAGAAGGCCUUCGGGUUGUAAAGUACUUUCAGCGGGGAGGCGGUACCCGCAGAAGAAGCACCGGCUAACUACGUGCCAGCAGCCGCGGUAAUUC